RNAcentral lists this ribosomal RNA (392 nucleotides) under Labyrinthulaceae sp. RNAcentral describes it as "partial small subunit ribosomal RNA". It matches the Rfam family "Eukaryotic small subunit ribosomal RNA", at positions 583 to 975 of the family's 1831-position model. The record is from RNAcentral. Lineage: Eukaryota; Bigyra; Labyrinthulida; Labyrinthulaceae.
UUCCAGCUCCAAUAGCGUAUAUUAAAGUUGUUGCAGUUAAAAAGCUCGUAUUUGAAUUUUUGUCUGUUGGGGCCUUGUUCUGUCCUUAGUGGCGGAGUUUAGUGUCCCGACGGACUUCCUGGGGGCCAACUAGUUGGUGUUUCAUUACACUGAUUAGGGAACCCCCUCGUUUACUGUGAAAAAAUUAGAGUGUUUCAAGCAGGCGUUUCGCAUUGAAUACAUUAGCAUGGAAUAAUAAGAUAGGACUUUGGUGCUAUUUUGUUGGUUUGCACACCAAGGUAAUGAUUAAGAGGGACAGUUGGGGGUAUUCGUAUUAUCAUGUCAGAGGUGAAAUUCUUGGAUUUUGGUAAGACGAACUACUGCGAAAGCAUCUGCCAUGGAUGUUUUCAUCG